UGGGGUUUUGAGGGGAUUCAUUGCGUCGAAAAAUAGAGAUCGGGCACCGUUUCGAAUCUCAACUCGUAAUGCCCCGCAAAAUCCCAAA
RNAcentral lists this microRNA precursor (88 nucleotides) under Strongylocentrotus purpuratus (purple sea urchin). Its description in RNAcentral is "Spu-Mir-193-P2_pre stem-loop". The record is from RNAcentral. Lineage: Eukaryota; Metazoa; Echinodermata; Echinoidea; Camarodonta; Strongylocentrotidae.